AACAUUAUGUAUAUAAGUUAGGGCUGGGCGAUAGGGAGAAAAUCAAAUAUCACGAUAUUUUCAACCAAAUGCCUCGAUAUCGAUACCUCAACUAUAUUGAAGUGUUGACUAUUGGUGCUUUCACAAAAUAUUUAUACAAUGACUUUUUUGAUAAAUGAUCAUUAGUAAUGUGGAUAAAAUG
Molecule: long non-coding RNA, 181 nt
Organism: Etheostoma cragini (Arkansas darter)
Lineage: Eukaryota; Metazoa; Chordata; Actinopteri; Perciformes; Percidae
Exons: 3
Source: RefSeq, a predicted model, not a curated record